RNAcentral lists this ribosomal RNA (372 nucleotides) under uncultured bacterium. RNAcentral describes it as "bacterial SSU rRNA". It matches the Rfam family "Bacterial small subunit ribosomal RNA", at positions 28 to 396 of the family's 1533-position model. The record is from RNAcentral.
GACGAACGCUGGCGGCGUGCUUAAUACAUGCAAGUCAACGACUUUUAGAGUAGCAAUAUUUAAAAGGAGUGGCGCACGGUGAGUAACACGUAGGUAAUCUGCCUUCAGGACUGACACAACUCGUCGAAAGACGGGCUAAUAUCAGAUAAUGCAGCGGCUCCGCAUGGAGACAGUUGUUAAAGUACAAGCGCCUGAAGAUGAGCCUGCGGUCCAUUAGCUAGUUGGUAGAGUAACAGCCUACCAAGGCAACGAUGGAUAGCUGGUCUGAGAGGAUGAUCAGCCACACUGGAACUGAGACACGGUCCAGACUCCUACGGGAGGCAGCAGUAAGGAAUAUUGCUCAAUGGCCGAAAGGACGUGAAGACAGCAACG